RNAcentral lists this unclassified non-coding RNA (2717 nucleotides) under Leishmania donovani. Its description in RNAcentral is "gene:LdHU3.10.0880(CDS-product:glycerol-3-phospha te_dehydrogenase_[NAD+]_glycosomal)". Lineage: Eukaryota; Euglenozoa; Kinetoplastea; Trypanosomatida; Trypanosomatidae. The record is from RNAcentral.
AUUUUUUCGGUUCUCCAUCCUUGUCUGACGCCCCUGCCCUUGAGUGCCAUUCUUUAGCUUCUCUCUCCUCAUUCCCUCCCCUACCCCCUCCUCAGGACGACGACGACGACGACGACGGACCAAGCGGAGAGUCCGAUUCCUUCCCAGACGCCUCUGCGCGAUCAACGCCGCGCUCUCCCAAUUAGUCCUAACACACACACACGCACAAGCCGUGCACUGCCUCACUGCCAACCAACCCAGCCCACUCAGCGUAAAAGGAAAAUGAUCUCCGCGAAGAGACACAUCGACACGAAUGAGCUGCUGCACCUGAACAAGGCCGUCGUCUUCGGCUCCGGGGCCUUUGGCACGGCGCUGGCGAUGGUGCUCUCCAAGAAGUGCCGCGAGGUGUGCGUGUGGCACAUAAAGGAGGAGGAGGCGCGGCUCGUGAAUGAGAAGCGCGAGAACGAUCUCUACCUCCAGGGAGUACAGCUUGCGUCGAACAUCACCUUCACCUCGGAUGUGGAAGAGGCGUACAAGGGUGCUGAGAUUAUCCUCUUCGUCAUCCCGACCCAGUUCCUGCGCGGCUUCUUCCAGAAAAGCGGCAGCAACCUGAUCGCCUACGCGAAGAAGAAUCAGGUGCCGGUGCUUGUGUGCACGAAGGGUAUUGAGCGCUCGACGCUGAAGUUCCCGGCGCAGAUUGUUGGCGAGUUCUUCCCGGGCAGCCUGCUCUCUGUGCUCGCGGGCCCCAGCUUCGCCAUCGAGGUGGCCACCGGCGUCUUCACGUGCGUCAGCGUCGCCUCCGCCGACAUCAAUGUGGCUCGCCGCCUGCAGCGCAUCAUGACAACGAGCGACCGCUCCUUCGUCUGCUGGGCCACCACCGACACCGUCGGCUGCGAGGUGGCCAGCGCUGUGAAGAACGUGCUGGCCAUCGGCUCUGGCGUGGCGAAUGGCCUCGGCAUGGGUCUCAACGCGCGUGCCGCCCUCAUCACGCGCGGCCUGCUCGAGAUUCGAGAUCUGACGGCCGCGCUGGGCGGCGAUGGCAGCGCCGUCUUCGGCCUCGCCGGCCUCGGUGACCUCCAGCUCACGUGCUCGUCGGAGCUGUCGCGUAACUUCACGGUGGGCAAGAAGCUCGGCAAGGGUUUGUCUAUCGAGGAAAUACAACGCACGAGCAAGGCCGUCGCGGAGGGCGUGGCGACGGCCGAGCCGCUGAUGCGCUUGGCGCAGCAGCUGAAGGUGACGAUGCCGCUGUGCCAGCAAAUCUACGAGAUCGUGUACAAGAAGAAGAGCCCACGCGCCGCCAUCGCAGACCUCUUGUCUUGCGGCCUGCAGGACGAGGGUCUGCCGCCGCUCUUCAAAAAGUCGGCUGCGACCCCCUCCAAGCUGUGAGGCGGAAGAGGGCACACAAACACGUACAGGCAAGCAGGCAAACAGGCCCACGCAUGCGCACAUCGCACGUCAGCUGUGUUCCGCGUGUGCGUUUUCUUCGCGUGCGUUUCUCCUCCUCGUACACGUCGGCAUCUCGAAUUUCCACCGUAACCGGUGCCCAGGGCGGCCCUCCCUUCCCUCGUCCCCUCCUUUGUUCUCCGUGCGCGUUCCGCUCACGAACAACCUGCACGUGUGUGCUGUUUUGUCCGGGUUCGUUUUCUUCCGUCCGUUUCCCCUCGCCACCUCCCACUCUGCGUGUGCGUUGUCCACCCCCCUCCCUCUCCCUCCCCAUCCUCUCUGCGCUUCUUGGCCGGUCUGUUGAGGCGUGUAUGUGCACAGCACGCGUGUGGCUGCGGGUGCUGUACGCGUGUUCUUUUCUGCGCACAUCCUCCGUCUUGUGACCGCGUGUAGAGGAACAAAGGUAGACUGGAGCCAACCAGAGGGAUUCGAGAAGCAUCCAGCGCGAGUUGUGCGGCGCACACCGCUGACGGCUCCCCCUCCCCCCACACACACACGCACUCGCGCACGCGCACGUCAAUCACAGCGAGCUAGCCCAAUGAGUGAGUCACGGAGAGCGAAGAGAGCGAGAGAGAAGCCGGAGUUGUGUUGUCCAUCGGUGUGGUGAUGUCCCUUCCCCUUGCUUUCUUUCCUUUUUCCUCUAUUGUGCGUGCACCCCUUGAUGACGAGGGGGGGUGCGCACACGCGCCGCCAUGCACGGUAUCCCCCAGGGUCCAGUGGGCCCCACUCUGUUUGGGGUGGAAGCCAAGCAGCCCCCUCCCCCUCUCCUCCUCCGUCCCCUGCCAAUGCCGAGCCGCCUCUGCUGGCGACGUGGUCACGUGCCUACGGCGUGGGGAGGUCGAAGCGAUGCGCCGCUACCGCUGUGUCGGCGCACAUGUCCCGGACAUGGUGGCGGCGCGGCGGCCUGCGACAGCGAGCACACCUCUACGCCGUCCCUCUGACAGGCGAAAUGCCGGCGCAAUUCGAACGCAUCCCAUCCGGCCAUCACUGCCUGCUGGCGGUGAGGCGGGCCUGCGACGCGUGGAGGUCGGGUAGAGCCUGAGGCAGGGGCCGUGCUCAGGUAGCUGGGUCGGCGCACUGCUGUAGCGCGUGUGUGUCUACCGAUACCCCGCGCCACGCGAUGAGGUCUGUGGCAGGGCUGGUCGGGAGGGGGCCGGUUCAGCGUGGCGGUCUGACCCCAUGCUGUGCACCGCAGAGAAUGGACGCACACACGCAGACAUGUGGGAAUAUUAUCAAGAAAUAUUGUUGUACUGGUUACAGGCCCCAACUCAUCUGUGUAGGUGCACGCGUGUCUG